RNAcentral lists this non-coding RNA (145 nucleotides) under unclassified sequences. Its description in RNAcentral is "RT-14 RNA". It matches the Rfam family "RT-14 RNA". From Rfam's summary of the family: Cloacimonetes, Firmicutes, Proteobacteria. Nearby to self-splicing intron genes The record is from Rfam by way of RNAcentral.
CUCUCUCUUCAAGCCAGAUACCGGGGGUUCACGGGCCACCGGUCAGCGCCAAGAGAAAAAGGAGCUAUAGCCCUUCUCUUUGGAGAAAAUAUUUAUAGGUAUGGGCGGCCAGUAGGUGAUGAUUCGCCAACCGCCGCCCAUGCCG